RNAcentral lists this ribosomal RNA (468 nucleotides) under uncultured bacterium. RNAcentral's name for it is "partial 16S ribosomal RNA". It matches the Rfam family "Bacterial small subunit ribosomal RNA", at positions 28 to 507 of the family's 1533-position model. The record is from RNAcentral.
GACGAACGCUGCCGGCGUGCUUAACACAUGCAAGUCGAACGGAAAGGCCCUGCUUUUGUGGGGUGCUCGAGUGGCGAACGGGUGAGUAACACGUGAGUAACCUGCCCUUGACUUUGGGUUAACUUCAGGAAACUGGGGCUAAUACCGGAUAGGAGCUCCUGCUGCAUGGUGGGGGUUGGAAAGUUUCGGCGGUUGGGGAUGGACUCGCGGCUUAUCAGCUUGUUGGUGGGGUAGUGGCUUACCAAGGCUUUGACGGGUAGCCGGCCUGAGAGGGUGACCGGCCACAUUGGGACUGAGAUACGGCCCAGACUCCUACGGGAGGCAGCAGUGGGGAAUAUUGCACAAUGGGCGGAAGCCUGAUGCAGCAACGCCGCGUGCGGGAUGACGGCCUUCGGGUUGUAAACCGCUUUCGCCUGUGACGAAGCGUGAGUGACGGUAAUGGGUAAAGAAGCACCGGCUAACUACGUG